This 2586-nucleotide unclassified non-coding RNA is filed under the name uncultured fungus. Its description in RNAcentral is "sequence contains 18S rRNA gene, ITS1, 5.8S rRNA gene, ITS2, 28S rRNA gene". Lineage: Eukaryota; Fungi. The record is from RNAcentral.
CGCGCAUCGCCCGGAUUUCUCCGGGGUUCGUCGGGGCGUACCUGGCGAAUCUAGUCAACGAAGCCGCCCUGCUCGCCGCCAGGGCCAAUAAAACCAAAGUCACCAUGAGGGAGUUUGAAGAAGCCAUCGAGCGGGUUGUGGCCGGGCUGGAAAAACAAGGCCGGGUCAUCCACGAAGAUGAGAAAGCCCGCGUCUCCUACCACGAAUGCGGCCAUGCCCUCGUGGCGUGCAGCCUGCCCCACACCGACCCCGUUCAUAAAAUCUCCAUCAUUCCGCGCGGGAUGGGUUUGGGCUACACCUUGCACUUCCCGGAGGAUGAACGGCAACUGGCCACCAAGACCGAGUUGCAAAACAAGAUCUGUUGCCUGUUGGGCGGGAUUGCCGCGGAGGAGAUCGUGUAUCAGGAGACCUCCACCGGGGCGCAAAACGAUUUGCAGCGCGCCACUACGAUUGCCCGCCGGAUGGUCACGGACUUCGGCAUGAGCGAAAAACUGGGCUGGAUGCACUACAGCGAAUCCUCGCGCGGCGCGUUCCUGGCGGGACAAGCCGGGCCGGGCGAAGUCACGCACAGCGAGCAGACCAUCCGGGAAAUCGAUCUGGAAGUGAAAGCCAUCAUUCAAGAAUCGUCCCAGAUCGCGGUGGAAAUUCUGCGGACUCACCGCGAGGUCUUGGAUCACAUGGCCCGCGAGCUUUUGGAGUGCGAAACGAUGGAUGCGGACCACUUGAAGCGCAUUCUGGAUGCGCACAAAACCAGCCCGAAACUCAGUCUGGGCACGCACAUCAAGCACGGAGCCGAUCAACUCGAAAUCCGCCCCGUGGACUCCGAACUGGACCACCGCGAAUCCAGCAGCGGCUAGCUGAAAUCCGAAGCGCGAAAUCCGAAAUCCGAAACAAUGUCAAUACCCGUAACACUUUAGCCGACUGGUAAGCAAGGCAUUUUAACGCAAAGAUCGCUAAGCAAAGACGCAAAGUCCGCAAAGAAAAGAACAAGGCCAUUGAAAGCCAGAUCGACUUUCCGUGCCGAAAUGCGCAUCUCAGAAAACCUGGAUUUGCACGGUUCUUUGCGUCUUCUCUUUGCGGUCUUUGCGUUAAUCAUUUGGGGUCACUGCCGAGUGCUUUGAGAUUCCUCUUCCCAUUUCGGGGAAGAUCGCAUACAACCCCCCGCGUUCGUGACCUCAUCGCGGACUCCAAUCUUUAAUCCAAUCUAGUUUUUCAUGUCCGAUUCAGCACGAGAUUCCGCUCGUGGCAGCACGCUGCAUCAGCCGGUUUUGCUUCGCGAAGUCAUCAAAGCUCUCGAACUUGAACCGGGGAUGGUCGUGGUGGAUGGAACCGUGGGAGCCGCGGGCCAUAGCCGAAAAAUCCUGGAACGCAUCGGCGAAACAGGACGCCUUAUCGGUCUGGACCGCGACCCGAUGAUGCUCAAACUUGCGGAAGCCCGGCUCAAUCAAACCAACUGUGAUUUAAGACAAGCCAGUUACGUGGAAAUGCCUCGGAUUCUCAUGGAAUGGGAUCUGGGCGAAGUGGACCGCGUCUUACUGGACCUGGGUUUGUCGUCCGACCAAUUGGCGGACGGGACGCGCGGGUUCGCGUUCGCCGCGGAAGGACCGUUGGAUUUGCGAUUCUAUACCACGCAGGGGCAGCCCGCCUGGGAAUGGAUUGCGAAUCAGACGGAAGAGAAACUUACCUUUGUUCUGGAGACUUUCGGCGAGGAACGCUUUAGCAAAGCCAUUGCCCAAGAACUGGUCAACCGGCGGAAAACCCAGCCUGUUCAAUCGGCGGCGGAUUUAGUGUCCGCCGUGGAGAAGGCCGUUCCCGAACCCGCGAAGCGCUCGGCCCGGAAACAUCCCGCAACCCUGGUGUUUCAGGCCUUAAGAAUCGCGGUCAAUCAGGAACUCGAGCAGGUGGAAACCGCUUUGAACCAGACGUUGCCCCAGGUCUUAAAACCGGGGGGCCUGGCCGUGGUCAUCACGUUUCAUUCGCUGGAAGAUCGAAUUGUCAAGGACGCAUUUCGGGACCAAAGCCGAUGGCAGAAUCUCACGCCUCACCCCAUAAUCGCCACGCCCACCGAACAACGAAUCAACCCCCGCUCGCGGACAGCCAAGCUGCGGGCGGCACGGAAACCUCCCCGGGCGGAGGAGACAACCGCAUCGCCUCACACAGUUCCCAACUCAAGGGACUGACGGCCAGCGUCGGGAAGUCUGCGCCGCCGGAGGGAAGCCAUCCGCUCACUCAGAGUGCGGACGGCACGCCCGCGCCAGCCCAUCCGGAAUCCGGUCCGGCGUCGGACACAGGAAGCGAAGCGGACUGGGGCAUCGCCCCGCCGAGCACCGGCAUGUCGCGGGAAACCAAAAUGGGUUUCGCCUUUGUGUUCGUGCUGUUGGUGGUGUUUGGCUUCGUCGUUUACAAAAAAGUGGGGCACAACCGGGCCGAGCGCGGAGACUUGCUGGCCGGCAUUCAGAAGGAAGAAGAAGUCGCAAACUCUGUCGCGCCUCCCGUGGUACCCACAACCACCGCGCAGAGUCCCAUCGCGGAGAAUCACUUGCCGCCCGCUCAAGGGGGCGAUCCCUUCCCGGAAGCUCAGCCGGU